Molecule: ribosomal RNA, 464 nt
Filed under: uncultured Methylomonas sp.
Lineage: Bacteria; Pseudomonadati; Pseudomonadota; Gammaproteobacteria; Methylococcales; Methylococcaceae
Description: partial 16S ribosomal RNA
Source: RNAcentral
GACUACACGGGUAUCUAAUCCUGUUUGCUACCCACGCUUUCGUACCUCAGCGUCAGUUUGAGUCCAGGGAGUCGCCUUCGCCACUGGUGUUCCUUCAGAUCUCUACGCAUUUCACCGCUACACCUGAAAUUCCACUCCCCUCUACUCAACUCUAGCUCGCCAGUAUCAAAUGCCAUUCCCAGGUUAAGCCCGGGGCUUUCACAUCUGACUUAACGAGCCGCCUACGCACGCUUUACGCCCAGUAAUUCCGAUUAACGCUUGCACCCUCCGUAUUACCGCGGCUGCUGGCACGGAGUUAGCCGGUGCUUCUUGUAUAGGUAAUGUCAGUCUACCCAGUAUUAAUGGAUAGGUAUUCCUUCCUAUUGAAAGUGCUUUACAACCCUCAGGCCUUCUUCACACACGCGGUAUUGCUGGAUCAGGCUUCCGCCCAUUGUCCAAUAUUCCCCACUGCAGCCCCCCGUAGG